Molecule: transfer RNA, 76 nt
Filed under: Clostridiaceae bacterium
Lineage: Bacteria; Bacillati; Bacillota; Clostridia; Eubacteriales; Clostridiaceae
Also listed under: 1 other name
Description: tRNA-Val
Rfam family: tRNA
About the family: Transfer RNA (tRNA) molecules are approximately 80 nucleotides in length.
Source: RNAcentral
GGAAGCAUAGCUCAGCAGGGAGAGCACUUGCCUUACAAGCAAGGGGUCGCAGGUUCAAGUCCUGUUGCUUCCACCA